RNAcentral lists this transfer RNA (64 nucleotides) under Cavia porcellus (domestic guinea pig). It matches the Rfam family "tRNA". Rfam says of the family: Transfer RNA (tRNA) molecules are approximately 80 nucleotides in length. Their secondary structure includes four short double-helical elements and three loops (D, anti-codon, and T loops). Further hydrogen bonds mediate the characteristic L-shaped molecular structure. tRNAs have two regions of fundamental functional importance: the anti-codon, which is responsible for specific mRNA codon recognition, and the 3' end, to which the tRNAs corresponding amino acid is attached (by aminoacyl-tRNA synthetases). tRNAs cope with the degeneracy of the genetic code in two manners: having more than one tRNA (with a specific anti-codon) for a particular amino acid; and 'wobble' base-pairing, i.e. permitting non-standard base-pairing at the 3rd anti-codon position. The record is from Rfam by way of RNAcentral. Lineage: Eukaryota; Metazoa; Chordata; Mammalia; Rodentia; Caviidae.
GGGGAUUUAGCUUAGUGGCAUAAGCACCUGCCUUGCAAGCAGGCGGUCAUGAGUUGGAUCCCUG